RNAcentral lists this long non-coding RNA (739 nucleotides) under Homo sapiens (human). RNAcentral describes it as "non-protein coding lnc-RAB11FIP5-3:2". Lineage: Eukaryota; Metazoa; Chordata; Mammalia; Primates; Hominidae. The record is from RNAcentral.
CUGCCCCGGGGCCCCGGCUCUGCAAGCAAACAGGCCGAGCGCGGCGCUGCAUCCGAAAUGCGGCAUUUGAGCAGCGCGGCGAAGGCGAGCGGGGGAGCGGCCCACCCGGCCAAAUGCUGAGCUCCCUGAGGGCAGGGACCAAGCCUGUCCUGGAACUCCUUAUCUGCCCUGUAUGAUGAACCCCAAGGCCCUCUCACCCACCUCUGAAGACUGGUCAGACAAGUCCUCCUAAUGCCUAUUUCUGGUUGAGGAGAGGGUGAUCCAGGUCAUGUGUUUCUACGUUGACAGAGAUGUGUGGAAGCCAAGGUUCUGGGUCCUAGAAGCCUCUCUUUGUGCAUGGACUAUGAGAUCUCGUCAUACUCAGUAAUCACAUCAGGCAAAUUAUGAAGAUUCGGCCGGGCGCGGUAGCUCACACCUGUAAUCCCAGCAGUUUGGGAGGCUGAGGCAGGCAGAUCACUUGAGGUCAGGAGUUCGUGACCAGCCUGGCCAAUAUGGUGAAACCUUGUCUCCACCAAAAAUACAAGAAUUAGGCCAGGUGCGGUGGCUCACGCUUGUAAUCUCAGCACUUUGGGAGGCCGAGGCAGGCGGAUCACCUGAGGUCAGGUGUUUGGGACCAGCCUGGCCAACAUGGCGAAACCCCAUCUCUACUAAAAAUACAAAAAUUGGCUGGUCGUGGUGGUGGGUGCCUGUAAUCCCAGCUACUCGGGAGGCUGAGGCAGGAGAAUCACUUGAACCCAGG